UCUCCUCUGUGCUCUCCCAAGGCAUUAGACACAGAAUGGUCUGAAUGUGAGCCUACAAUAGUGGAGAUAAAUGGGAUUUGAAGCACAGGCUAUAAGGAGUGGCAGUCAUUAGACAGUAAGUGAGGCAAGCGAGUUGUUAGGACAUGAGCAGUGCUAGUCGUUAGGAAAGGAUGGAGGGAGAGAGAUGGAGCGAUGGAGGGAAGGAAGGAGGCCACUGGCUGUUUGUUCUAGGACUAAGUGCUGGAUAAUGAGAUCAGACUGACAUGACCCGGCCCCACAGCUAAGAGAGACAGCUUUGCAGCUACACCCCCCUCCACUCCGAUCCCUAACUCUCCAUCCCAUUCCCUUUGUCUUACACAUACUUCCUCCUUCUGUCUCUGCUCCUGCCUCUCUCUCGUCCAAACUCUCCUACUCGUGCACGAGCAGCAGCUGCAGCAUUGCAAGUGGCACGUGAGAUCUAAAGUAGAUCCAGUGGCGGAGCAAUCUGAGUACAGAAGUCUCCCUCAAGUCCGGUCGCAGCUGUGGAUACAUUCCUUCUAUAGCUCCACUGCAAAGACACACAAUAUAAUAUUCCAACUCUCAUAAAACCGUUGUUUGGUUCCAGUUCUUACUGAACACCAGACCGACAGCAACGGGACUUGGAAACGCUCCGCACGCCUCAGCGUCGGCCAUUUUGGUGCCUGCUUGCAGGACUCGCUGGACUUCCGUGACUUCUCCCAGUUCCUCGGUGGAGCGGCAUCGCAGCAACUGCAGAAUGCAGAGCUGCUCCUCGCUGCCUCUGGAGCUUCCCAGCACUCGCAUAGCAACAAUGACAGGAUGCUGCUGGGAAGGGUUAAGAAUCCUCACUUCGCAGCAGCUGUGAACUGUGAUUAUGAGCUCCUGAGUCACGUCGCUGAAGGAUGGACGGCGAAGCCACCGGACGAAUCCUCGCCAUAAAUUUGAGUUCACAACCUGUCGGCUCCAAAGGUCACUGCUUUCGGCGCCUCGGAGGCCGACGCGUGAGGAAGCCUCGCUUCUCCAAAGCUGUCUGACGUUAUUAGAUCUGUGCUGCCUGGCUCUGAGUCACCUCUGACGCACCAAGAGAGGGUUUGAACCCCACAGCUCCACAUUAGGCUCGCUGUUGAUACUUUAUUUAUUAAUUUAUUUGAUUGUAUAAACACAUAUUUGUGCACAACAAAAAAAUUUAAGUAAAUUCACUCUUUGCUUUUCUUAGAAGUGAAUGUAAUGAUAUUAAUGCCAGUAAUUUAGACAGCUUUUUUUAUUGGACUAAACAAUAAAACCACUCAUAAAUCCA
This 1294-nucleotide long non-coding RNA is filed under the name Betta splendens (Siamese fighting fish). RNAcentral's name for it is "lncRNA (ENSBSLG00000021798.1)". Lineage: Eukaryota; Metazoa; Chordata; Actinopteri; Anabantiformes; Osphronemidae. The record is from RNAcentral.